This 440-nucleotide ribosomal RNA is filed under the name uncultured bacterium. RNAcentral describes it as "partial 16S ribosomal RNA". It matches the Rfam family "Bacterial small subunit ribosomal RNA", at positions 338 to 795 of the family's 1533-position model. The record is from RNAcentral.
CCUACGGGAGGCUGCAGUGGGGAAUAUUGCACAAUGGGGGAAACCCUGAUGCAGCGACGCCGCGUGAGUGAAGAAGUAAUUCGGUAUGUAAAGCUCUAUCAGCAGGGAAGAAAAUGACGGUACCUGAGUAAGAAGCCACGGCUAACUACGUGCCAGCAGCCGCGGUAAUACGUAGGGGGCAAGCGUUAUCCGGAGUUACUGGGUGGAAAGGGAGCGUAGACGGCGGGGCAAGUCUGGGGUGAAAGGCGGGGGCUCAACCCCCGGAUUGCUCUGGAAACUGUACGGCUUGAGUGCAGGAGAGGUAAGUGGAAUUCCUGGUGUAGCGGUGAAAUGCGUAGAUAUUAGGAGGAACACCAGUGGCGAAGGCGGCUUACUGGACUGUAACUGACGUUGAGGCUCGAAAGCGUGGGGAGCAAACAGGAUUAGAUACCCUGGUAGUC